GACGAACGCUGGCGGCGUGCCUAAUACAUGCAAGUAGAACGCAGUUGCGAACGGGUGAGUAACGCGUAGGUAACUGCCUGGUAGCGGGGGAUAACUAUUGGUAACGAUAGCUAAUACCGCAUACUACCAGAUGGACCUGCGUUGUAUUAGCUAGUUGGUUGGGUAACGGCUCACCAAGGCAACGAUACAUAGCCGACCUGAGAGGGGGAACGGCCAAACUGGGGCUGGGGAAAGGGCCAGACCCCUACGGGAAGGAACAGGAGGGAAAUUUCGGCAAUGGACGGAAGUCUGACCGAGCAACGCCGCGGGAGUGAAGAAGGUUUUCGGGUCGUAAAGCUCCUUUGUGAGGGAAGCGGUAUCUUACCAGAAAGGGACGGCUAACUACGUGCCAGCAGCCGCGGUAAUAC
This 407-nucleotide ribosomal RNA is filed under the name uncultured bacterium. RNAcentral describes it as "partial 16S ribosomal RNA". It matches the Rfam family "Bacterial small subunit ribosomal RNA", at positions 28 to 526 of the family's 1533-position model. The record is from RNAcentral.